UCUCCGUUGGUGAACCAGCGGAGGGAUCAUUGCUGGAACGCGCCUCGGCGCACCCAGAAACCCUUUGUGAACUUAUACCUUACUGUUGCCUCGGCGCAGGCCGGCCCCCUUCUGGGGGCCCCUCGUUCCUGACGAGGAGCAGGCUCGCCGGCGGCCAAGUUAACUCUUGUUUUUAUUGUGAAACUCUGAGAAUAAAACAUAAAUGAAUCAAAACUUUCAACAACGGAUCUCUUGGUUCUGGCAUCGAUGAAGAACGCAGC
This 260-nucleotide unclassified non-coding RNA is filed under the name uncultured fungus. RNAcentral describes it as "sequence contains ITS1, 5.8S rRNA gene". The stretch from base 212 to 260 matches the Rfam family "5.8S ribosomal RNA", at positions 1 to 49 of the family's 154-position model. Lineage: Eukaryota; Fungi. The record is from RNAcentral.